This 584-nucleotide ribosomal RNA is filed under the name uncultured Glomeromycotina. Its description in RNAcentral is "LSU rRNA". It matches the Rfam family "Eukaryotic large subunit ribosomal RNA", at positions 204 to 637 of the family's 3401-position model. Lineage: Eukaryota; Fungi; Glomeromycota. The record is from RNAcentral.
CAUGGAGGGUGAGAAUCCCGUCUUUGACACGGACUACCGGCGCUUUGUGAUGCGCUCUCAAAGAGUCGCGUUGUUUGGGAAUGCAGCGCAAAACGGGUGGUAAAUUCCAUCUAAAGCUAAAUAUUGGCGAGAGAUAGCGAACAAGUACCGUGAGGGAAAGAUGAAAAGAACUUUGAAAAGAGAGUAAAAUAGUACGUGAAAUUGUUGAAAGGGAAACGAUUGAAGUCAGUCGUACCGACGAGAAAUCAGCUCUUUGAGUGUUAACUUGUGGACGUGCGUGAGUCUUUACGGGCCUCGCUGUUUGCAUGUUUGUGCUUUUUGGGUGUUCUUUUUCGUAUGGUUGGCCAACGUCAGUUUCGAUCAUCAUAAAAUGAUCAGGGGAAUGUAGCUUCGAUCUCGUAUUGAAGUGUUAUAGCCUUUGGUAGAUGUGGUAAUUGAAACUGAGGAUUGCAACGAAUACCCUUUGGGCUAUCCGUCUGGCCUCUGAAAGUUGCCUAGGUGCCGAAAGCUUGCUUACGGUUGUCUAAGGUGGCGGUCAAAAGGUUAGAACGUGAUUACAUUCGUUAAGGAUGUUGACGUAAUGG